This 1676-nucleotide ribosomal RNA is filed under the name Escherichia coli. RNAcentral's name for it is "23S ribosomal RNA". It matches the Rfam family "Bacterial large subunit ribosomal RNA", at positions 1271 to 2925 of the family's 2925-position model. Lineage: Bacteria; Pseudomonadati; Pseudomonadota; Gammaproteobacteria; Enterobacterales; Enterobacteriaceae. The record is from RNAcentral.
UGCUGGAGGUAUCAGAAGUGCGAAUGCUGACAUAAGUAACGAUAAAGCGGGUGAAAAGCCCGCUCGCCGGAAGACCAAGGGUUCCUGUCCAACGUUAAUCGGGGCAGGGUGAGUCGACCCCUAAGGCGAGGCCGAAAGGCGUAGUCGAUGGGAAACAGGUUAAUAUUCCUGUACUUGGUGUUACUGCGAAGGGGGGACGGAGAAGGCUAUGUUGGCCGGGCGACGGUUGUCCCGGUUUAAGCGUGUAGGCUGGUUUUCCAGGCAAAUCCGGAAAAUCAAGGCUGAGGCGUGAUGACGAGGCACUACGGUGCUGAAGCGACAAAUGCCCUGCUUCCAGGAAAAGCCUCUAAGCAUCAGGUAACAUUAAAUCGUACCCCAAACCGACACAGGUGGUCAGGUAGAGAAUACCAAGGCGCUUGAGAGAACUCGGGUGAAGGAACUAGGCAAAAUGGUGCCGUAACUUCGGGAGAAGGCACGCUGAUAUGUAGGUGAAGCGACUUGCUCGUGGAGCUGAAAUCAGUCGAAGAUACCAGCUGGCUGCAACUGUUUAUUAAAAACACAGCACUGUGCAAACACGAAAGUGGACGUAUACGGUGUGACGCCUGCCCGGUGCCGGAAGGUUAAUUGAUGGGGUUAGCGGCAACGCGAAGCUCUUGAUCGAAGCCCCGGUAAACGGCGGCCGUAACUAUAACGGUCCUAAGGUAGCGAAAUUCCUUGUCGGGUAAGUUCCGACCUGCACGAAUGGCGUAAUGAUGGCCAGGCUGUCUCCACCCGAGACUCAGUGAAAUUGAACUCGCUGUGAAGAUGCAGUGUACCCGCGGCAAGACGGAAAGACCCCGUGAACCUUUACUAUAGCUUGACACUGAACAUUGAGCCUUGAUGUGUAGGAUAGGUGGGAGGCUUUGAAGUGUGGACGCCAGUCUGCAUGGAGCCGACCUUGAAAUACCACCCUUUAAUGUUUGAUGUUCUAACGUGGGCCCGUAAUCCGGGUUGCGGACAGUGUCUGGUGGGUAGUUUGACUGGGGCGGUCUCCUCCUAAAGAGUAACGGAGGAGCACGAAGGUUGGCUAAUCCUGGUCGGACAUCAGGAGGUUAGUGCAAUGGCAUAAGCCAGCUUGACUGCGAGCGUGACGGCGCGAGCAGGUGCGAAAGCAGGUCAUAGUGAUCCGGUGGUUCUGAAUGGAAGGGCCAUCGCUCAACGGAUAAAAGGUACUCCGGGGAUAACAGGCUGAUACCGCCCAAGAGUUCAUAUCGACGGCGGUGUUUGGCACCUCGAUGUCGGCUCAUCACAUCCUGGGGCUGAAGUAGGUCCCAAGGGUAUGGCUGUUCGCCAUUUAAAGUGGUACGCGAGCUGGGUUUAGAACGUCGUGAGACAGUUCGGUCCCUAUCUGCCGUGGGCGCUGGAGAACUGAGGGGGGCUGCUCCUAGUACGAGAGGACCGGAGUGGACGCAUCACUGGUGUUCGGGUUGUCAUGCCAAUGGCACUGCCCGGUAGCUAAAUGCGGAAGAGAUAAGUGCUGAAAGCAUCUAAGCACGAAACUUGCCCCGAGAUGAGUUCUCCCUGACCCUUUAAGGGUCCUGAAGGAACGUUGAAGACGACGACGUUGAUAGGCCGGGUGUGUAAGCGCAGCGAUGCGUUGAGCUAACCGGUACUAAUGAACCGUGAGGCUUAACCUU